RNA transcript from Rhododendron vialii, 2791 nucleotides. RefSeq lists it as uncharacterized. The transcript is spliced from 5 exons. The record is from RefSeq and is a predicted model, not a curated record. NCBI's taxonomy places the organism in Eukaryota, Viridiplantae, Streptophyta, Magnoliopsida, Ericales, Ericaceae.
GACUCUACAUUAUUUGAACUGUGACUAGCCUUCAACAAAUUACUUAACACACAACUAUUAGUAAAAUGGAAACAACUUGAGCAUUGUGUAAUUACAAAACUUCCAAAGCAAAAUGCAGGCAUCCGCUUUUCCAUGGGAAAUAUUAUUUCCCAACACUCUGAGGACUAAUUGGGUUUCGCUAAACUACUCAAAAAUUGAUCAGGGAACGAUGUGAGCCAGCAAUCCUCUCCUCUAAAGUUAAGGGAAUUAUAGCUUAGAGCUUUUGCAUGGUUACUUGAUGGGUCAAAAUGCAACAGUUCCAGGUCGAGCAACUGAAGUUAAGGCAGAAUAGAGGCUAAGCUCAAGAGAGUGGAGCAGGUUUGGGCAAUCCACGUCCUAGAGUUCCUUUAGAUUGACGGAUUUGGAAAGAAAAACAAACAAACAAACACAUGGAUGAGAGUUUUUGAGUGAUUUGGCACGAAAAUAGGAUCAGAUGCAGAAUGAUGGGAUCGGAUCGUUAGUUGGAAACUUGUAACUUCUUCCCGCAAACUCUAUCCAGGUGGACGCAAACUAUUACCACAUGGCCGCAAAUUACUUCAAUUUGUGCUAACUACAGAUUGGACCCUCAAGUUUUGAAACGUUGUGGUGAGACCUUAGCAUAUGAUGAUUAAUUGCCAAGCUACCCCGGCAAACCGAAAUACCCUUGUUCGACCUCCGUAGAUAACAGAGGUUGCAACUUGGGUUUCAAAUCAAAGAUGGUACGAAGAAAUUAACAUUCUCAGAAUUCCGUUGAGAUCUCCGCAUUGACAUGGCCGAGGUUGCAGAGUUUGCCAGGAGGAAAGGAAGAACAUUUGAUAGAUCUUGGAUUCGAAUGUCGAGGUGGGAUUGCUAAAGCACGAUGGUCAUGUAUAGACACUUGGUUUCAUAUACGAGGUUCAAAUAAAUAUGAGGCAAGUAGCCAUAAAUGUGCCCCCUCUGGCCUCGCAACCAAGUGCACUUAUUUUGCAUCUUUUAGAGCAAACAUUCAGGAUGGAGGUAAUCUGUGUAAGCAUUGCAUAUGCUCCAGUUAUAGUUGAUAAUGUAAACUGUCUCUCUCUUUUGUUUUUUUGAUAAACAGAAGGUGCAUUAAACGGUCUCUGUAGUGUAGUUUGUUCAUGCUCAUGUUUUGGGGUGUAAUUUGUCAUAACUUUGUGGCUUUGAACUGGACUGAGGUUGAGAUAGUAACAUAAACUUACUUGAAUUCACCAUCCUUGCUGAGAUGCAAUAGUUAUAAUCUACUGGUUUAUUUAUUUAAGAGGCUGUUUAUACAAAGAAGGACAACCAAUCUAGUACGCAACAUUGCAACUACUUGUCAAAAAGAGAGAAAACAUGAUGGUAUUAGUUCCAUUAAGGUACCGAGAUAGUUGGAGACCCAAUUUCAGGGUUAAUAGUUGAACAUGGAGUCAUGGGAAUUCCAUGACACACAUGGCAUCCAUUAUGAAGAUAGUGGAACAAAUGCUCAUCAUUCAACACAAAAAAGUGAUGCAAACACUAGGUUGUGGGGCUGCCAUUACUGUUCGCAAGCAUGGCAUCUCAAUUGCCGAAAGACAAGAAAGAAGGGUCUCCAACCAAACAACUGAAGCUUUUCGUUUGCAAAUUCCAAUUUUCAUAGUCCCGUACUAUGUCUUUUAAUUGAGAUGCCCAUACAAAUGACCCAUGAUUCCAUCAAAUGGAAUUAUGUACUGAAUUGGCUUUCUAGAGAUGUGUGAAGUUCUAGGUCUCUCUUCAAGUCCUCUGCCCCACCAUAUCCAUGCAAGUUUGAAGUAGCCAUGCUCGUUCUUUAUUUUCCAGCAAUGAGCAGUUUCCAUUUCUAUCAAAGUUCUUUACAUUUAAUCCCCAUGCUCGUUUCUUUUCUAUGUUGCUCGGGGAAAUUGUGGAAAUACUCUUUGUCGAGGCAAUAUAGAACCGGUGAUGGGUUUCAUGUACCGCACUAAGUCCCCUGCGUGGUUCUGGCAUGCUUGUGCACCACAAACAUACUUGGCCAAGGCAUUUUCACUUUUUGAGGACAAGUUAUUUGGUUUGGAGGGUGGACCCUACAUUUACAGGGUCGACCAUAGCAGAAGAAUGCGAAAGGGGUUGUUUUAGUCCUCUUUGGGUGGCAUUCUCAAUCCUUGUUGGUGGUCUGUUGUUGGAUGUACCGAUAUCCAUUACGCUUGGUGUAUCUGCUCUGCGUAUAACCAGCAUAAUCGGUAUACAAAUUUCACCUGAGAUUGUACGGUAGUAACUUGUUUCUGGGAGGGAAAUCAUGGAGUGACCUGUGAAUGUGUGCCUCCUGAUGCUUAUCUACAAGACAAUUUACAGGUGUUACCAUUCUGCUAGUAUUUGGAACUGCUGUGCGACUUGGCGUGGAAUUCUGUCGUCAGUGGCGUGCUAGACGAGCAGUACACACAGCGCAAAACAAAUGAGAAUAUUGGCGACCAUCUUUCGUUAUAGGUAAUAUUUGUACAUAAGAGAAAGCUUUCAGAGUACAUACUUGAUUUGCUUUGUAAUUAUGAUCAAUGAAUUGUAUAUUUAUUUUCUUCGUGAGGUGAGCCUCCUGCUCUCCUCCCCUUUCAAUAGGCUUUGGUGCGUUUGGACAACUUUUCUGAGACUCAAACUGACUAUAGUUUGAGAUUUGCUGGUAGAUAUUUUGUGCAGGUAGCUUUUGGAUGUUACUGUGUCACUAUUGUUGACAUGCCACAGGGAUAUAGUUGCAAAACUUAUUCGUAGUCCGAUAGCAGUUUAAAGUAGGAUUUGGUUAAUACUAAUUCAUCUUCCUACGCUAUGAUACCCA